CAAUAGCGUAUAUUAAAGUUGUUGCGGUUAAAAAGCUCGUAGUUGGAUUUCUGCUGAGGAUGACCGGUCCGCCCUGUGGGUGUGCAUCUGGCUCAGCCUUGGCAUCUUCCUGAAGAACGUAGCUGCACUUGACUGUGUGGUGCGGUAUUUAGGACAUUUACUUUGAGGAAAUUAGAGUGUUUCAAGCAAGCGCACGCUUUGAAUACAUUAGCAUGGAAUAAUAAGAUAGGACCUUGGUUCUAUUUUGUUGGUUUCUAGAGCUGAGGUAAUGAUUGAUAGGGAUAGUUGGGGGCAUUCGUAUUUAACCGUCAGAGGUGAAAUUCUUGGAUUUGUUAAAGACGGACUACUGCGAAAGCAUUUGCCAGGGAUGUUUUCAUUGA
This 380-nucleotide ribosomal RNA is filed under the name uncultured eukaryote. RNAcentral's name for it is "partial 18S ribosomal RNA". It matches the Rfam family "Eukaryotic small subunit ribosomal RNA", at positions 592 to 976 of the family's 1831-position model. The record is from RNAcentral.